Molecule: ribosomal RNA, 486 nt
Filed under: Boana stellae
Lineage: Eukaryota; Metazoa; Chordata; Amphibia; Anura; Hylidae
Description: partial 12S ribosomal RNA
Rfam family: Bacterial small subunit ribosomal RNA
Source: RNAcentral
CCACAAACUUUUAAUUACACCCCAAACGCCCGGGAACUACGAGCAAAGCUUAAAACCCAAAGGACUUGACGGUGCCCCAUAUCCCCCUAGAGGAGCCUGUCCUAUAAUCGAUAACCCCCGUUAAACCUCACCACUUUUAGUCUUUCAGUCUGUAUACCUCCGUCGUCAGCUUACCACGUGAGUGAAGAAUAGUAAGUUCAAUGUCCUACCAUACGUCAAUACGUCAGGUCAAGGUGCAGCUAAUAAAGUGGGAAGAGAUGGGCUACACUCUCUAAUUUAGAGUAUACGAAAGACUACUAUGAAAACUAGUCUAAAGGUGGAUUUAGUAGUAAAAAAAGACCAAAAUGCUUUUUUUAACUAGGCCCUGGGGUGUGUACACACCGCCCGUCACCCUCUUCGCAGCUAUAAUUUAGUAAUUAACAAAAUUUGCACAGUAGAAGAGGUAAGUCGUAACAUGGUAAGUAUACCGGAAGGUGUGCUUGGAAA